This 301-nucleotide ribosomal RNA is filed under the name uncultured bacterium. RNAcentral describes it as "partial 16S ribosomal RNA". It matches the Rfam family "Bacterial small subunit ribosomal RNA", at positions 509 to 807 of the family's 1533-position model. The record is from RNAcentral.
CAGCCGCCGCGGUAAAACGAAGGGUGCAAGCGUUAAUCGGAAUUACUGGGCGUAAAGCGCGCGUAGGUGGUUUGUUAAGUUGGAUGUGAAAUCCCCGGGCUCAACCUGGGAACUGCAUUCAAAACUGACUGACUAGAGUAUGGUAGAGGGUGGUGGAAUUUCCUGUGUAGCGGUGAAAUGCGUAGAUAUAGGAAGGAACACCAGUGGCGAAGGCGACCACCUGGACUAAUACUGACACUGAGGUGCGAAAGCGUGGGGAGCAAACAGGAUUAGAUACCCGCGUAGUCCCUGUCUCUUAUAC